Molecule: ribosomal RNA, 237 nt
Filed under: uncultured bacterium
Lineage: Bacteria
Description: partial 16S ribosomal RNA
Rfam family: Bacterial small subunit ribosomal RNA
Source: RNAcentral
UACGGAGGGUGCAAGCGUUAAUCGGAAUUACUGGGCGUAAAGCGCACGCAGGCGGUCUGUCAAGUCGGAUGUGAAAUCCCCGGGCUCAACCUGGGAACUGCAUUCGAAACUGGCAGGCUUGAGUCUUGUAGAGGGGGGUAGAAUUCCAGGUGUAGCGGUGAAAUGCGUAGAGAUCUGGAGGAAUACCGGUGGCGAAGGCGGCCCCCUGGACAAAGACUGACGCUCAGGUGCGAAAGC